UCCCCUGGGGGGAACUUAGUUGCUUAGGAGGAGGUAAAUGGACUUCUUUUACGAAUCCAUAUUAAUGUUUAAAUGACUAAUGGUAUCAAAAUCCUCCCCAAAAUAGAUACAUUUUUAAAGAAUGUGGCCAAAUGAAGUAACUAAUAUCGAGUAAACAUUUUAGAGGAUGAGGGUCAUUUAGACCUGCCAGUCUAUGCUGAAAUCUCACUCUCUUUUCCCUACAACUCCAGCUCUCUUGAAAUGAAAAGUUUACAAUUAUUUCCUGUGAUCUAUUUAUGAAACUACAAAUGAUAGAAAUUUCCAAGUCCUUUUCCUAUCUCCCACCCCUUCAUUUCUGAAGGUAACAGGGCAGGCAUAAGGGCACACGAUGUACCUAUGGAUCUUUUGUACAUUCAGUGUUUGAGUUUACCCUUUUCUUUCAUGACUUGCCACCAUUUUCCUGCAACCACUUUUGCUCAUAAAUAAGCACUUUUUAUCAACAUUUUAUAGAGUACAAACUUUUUUCUUUUAAAUCUAAUUCUUUUUUGAUUAAAUUCUUGCUGUAUAUACUAUAUACUUUUAAAAGGAAAUUUAUUUCUAUUUUUGCAUUCAUCAGCAAGAUAACCGAGUACUGGUUGCUUGCCUAUCAAAGUGUUCAUAUAGUAUAAUUAAAUUGUAGCAACUAACAGUGUGACAAUUAUCAGUUUCAGCAUCAGGCAAGUGGCUGGAUGGUAUUCGAAAAUGGUAUUACAAUGCUGCAGGAUUCAAUAAACUGGGGUUAAUGCGAGAUGAUACAAUAUACGAGGAUGAAGAUGUAAAAGAAGCCAUAAGAAGGCUUCCUGAGAACCUUUAUAAUGACAGGAUGUUUCGCAUUAAGAGGGCACUGGACCUGUCCUUGAAGCAUCAGAUCUUGCCUAAAGAGCAGUGGACCAAAUAUGAAGAGGAAAAUUUCUAUCUUGAACCGUAUCUGAAAGAGGUUAUUCGGGAAAGAAAAGAAAGAGAAGAAUGGGCAA
This 992-nucleotide small RNA is filed under the name Pongo abelii (Sumatran orangutan). RNAcentral's name for it is "retained intron". The record is from RNAcentral. Lineage: Eukaryota; Metazoa; Chordata; Mammalia; Primates; Hominidae.